RNAcentral lists this ribosomal RNA (2077 nucleotides) under Elaphomyces granulatus. Its description in RNAcentral is "eukaryotic LSU rRNA". The stretch from base 644 to 2077 matches the Rfam family "Eukaryotic large subunit ribosomal RNA", at positions 1 to 1441 of the family's 3401-position model. The record is from RNAcentral. Lineage: Eukaryota; Fungi; Ascomycota; Eurotiomycetes; Eurotiales; Elaphomycetaceae.
GAAGUAAAAGUCGUAACAAGGUUUCCGUAGGUGAACCUGCGGAAGGAUCAUUACUGAGCGUGGGUCCCCCGUUGACCCCCCUUUCCCGGGGGGCCGGGGUUGACCCUAGACCUCCCACCCUUGUCGAUUGUACCGUGUUGCUUCGGCGGGCCCGCCAUUGGCCGCCGGGGGGCUCGCGACUUGUGAGCGCCGCCCCCGGGCCCGUGCCCGCCGGAGACCUCCCUCGAAAUGCUACUGUGGUCAGAAAUGCUGUCUGAGUGGGAAUGAUGUGAGAAAUUGAUCAGUCAAAACUUUCAACAAUGGAUCUCUUGGUUCCGGCAUCGAUGAAGAACGCAGCGAAAUGCGAUAAGUAAUGCGAAUUGCAGAAUUCCGUGAGUCAUCGAAUCUUUGAACGCACAUUGCGCCCCCCGGCUUCCCGGGGGGCAUGCCUGUCCGAGCGUCAUUGCCAUCCCCUCAAGCUCCGCUUGGCUGGUUGGGCCGACGUCCACCCGUGGCUUUGUGCCGGGGGGGACGGGCCCGAAAGGCAGUGGCGGCUCCCGGAGGGUGGUCCCUUGGGGCGGUUGAUACAUGGGUUGUCAUCUUCCACCGCUCCGUUGGCCACGCUCCGGGGGUCCAGUCGAACGAUCGGUCUUCCCCUUUAGGUUGACCUCGGAUCAGGUAGGGAUACCCGCUGAACUUAAGCAUAUCAAUAAGCGGAGGAAAAGAAACCAACCGGGAUUGCCUCAGUAACGGCGAGUGAAGCGGCAAGAGCUCAAAUUUGAAAUCUGGCCCCCCCCCCCCGGGGGUCCGAGUUGUAAUUUGGAGAGGAUGCUUCGGGUUCGGUCCCGGUCCAAGUGCCCUGGGACGGGCCGUCGGAGAGGGUGAGAAUCCCGUCUGCGACCGGUGACUGGGCCUGGGUGAAGCUCCCUCGACGAGUCGAGUUGUUUGGGAAUGCAGCUCUAAAUGGGUGGUAAAUUUCAUCUAAAGCUAAAUAUGGGCCGGAGACCGAUAGCGCACAAGUAGAGUGAUCGAAAGAUGAAAAGCACUUUGGAAAGAGAGUCAAACAGCACGUGAAAUUGUUGAAAGGGAAGCGCUUGCGAUCAGACUCGCCCGGGGAGGUUCAGCCGGCACUUGUGCCGGUGCAUUCCUACCCGGGCGGGCCAGCGUCGGUUCGGACGGCCUGUCAAAGGCCCCCGGAAGGUAGCGCCCUUCGGGGCGUCUUAUAGCCGGGGGUGUCAUGCGGCCUGUCCGGACCGAGGAACGCGCCUUUGGGCUCGGACGCUGGCGUAAUGGUCGUAAGCGGCCCGUCUUGAAACACGGACCAAGGAGUCUAACAUCCACGCGAGUGUUCGGGUGUCCAAAACCCGUCCGCGCAGUGAAAGCGAACGGAGGUGGGAACCCCCUUGUGGGGUGCACCAUCGACCGAUCCUGAUGUCUUCGGAUGGAUUUGAGUAGGAGCGUGGCUGUUGGGACCCGAAAGAUGGUGAACUAUGCCUGAAUAGGGCGAAGCCAGAGGAAACUCUGGUGGAGGCUCGCAGCGGUUCUGACGUGCAAAUCGAUCGUCAAAUUUGGGUAUAGGGGCGAAAGACUAAUCGAACCAUCUGGUAGCUGGUUCCUGCCGAAGUUUCCCUCAGGAUAGCAGUAACGAGAUCAGUUUUAUGAGGUAAAGCGAAUGAUUAGAGGCCUUGGGGUUGAAACAACCUUAACCUAUUCUCAAACUUUAAAUAUGUAAGAAGCCCUUGUUGCUUUGUUGAACGUGGGCGCUGGAAUGGAUCGUUACUAGUGGGCCAUUUUUGGUAAGCAGAACUGGCGAUGCGGGAUGAACCGAACGCGAGGUUAAGGUGCCGGAAUGCACGCUCAUCAGACACCACAAAAGGUGUUAGUUCAUCUAGACAGCCCGACGGUGGCCAUGGAAGUCGGAAUCCGCUAAGGAGUGUGUAACAACUCACGGGCCGAAUGAACUAGCCCUGAAAAUGGAUGGCGCUCAAGCGUGCUACCCAUACCUCGCCGUCGGGGUAGCAACGAUGCCCCGACGAGUAGGCAGGCGUGGGGGUCGGUGACGAAGCCUUGGGAGUGAUCCUGGGUGGAACGGCCCCUA